GAGAAGAACAUAGCCAUGAGGCCAGGCAGAUGUGGGCUCAUAAUAGCUUGUGGCCUUGAGUGGACACAAACUCUCAGAGCAGGUAAAUUCUUCUGAACCUGAAUUCCUAAACAAUAUGUGAAGGUUAAAAUAACCUAACCUACUGAUGUACUUAAGGAUAAAGUAAACUAGUAUGUGUGAAAGAAGUGGCACACAGCCACCGGAACUGCGUUUCUUCUUUUUGUCUGAUGUUAUCUCUCAGCUUCUGACACAUGGAAGAUCAAUGGUCUUACAUUCAGUGGAUAUAGGUUUUUUGUUUUGGGGUUUGUUUGGUUUUUUGUUUGAUGGUUUUGAGAUUUUUUUUUUCACCAUGGAUUGAACCCAGGGGCACUUAACCACUGAGCCACAUCCCCAACCCUUUUUAUAUUUUGUUUUUGAGAUGGCCUCGCUAAGUUCCUGAGGCUGGUUUUGAACUUGCAGUCCUUCUGCCUCAGCCUCUCAGCUGCUGGGAUUACAGGCAUAUGCCCUUAAUCACCAUGCCCAGCAAUAUAAGUAUUCUUACUGGAAAUUCAGGGGAAGGAGCUUUGAGGUUAGCGCUGGAGUAUAAAACUAAGGGACAAAUUAGAAUUUAUUAAGAAAAUGUACCAAAUUCAAAGAGAAGAAAAAGCACUAUAAAGACCAAAUCGCAGAGAAGGAGGAGCAUGAUUAGAACUUAGCUCUGGGCUGAGUCAGGGCUGGGCUGGCCACUUUCCCAACUAGAUUCACUGCUCAUCUUCCCAGUCCCAGGCUGUGACUGCCUGUGCUGACCAUGCACAACACUGACAUCUCAGGGGAUGUCAGGGGCCCCAAGGAACACAUUUCCCAUUCCUCACUGUUCUGCCAAGGAUAGCCUUGGCAUGUGUCAUUUAGGAGACUGGCUCACAGUUAAGAAAAUCUGGGGCUGGGGAUGUGGCUCAAGCGGUAGCACGCUCGCCUGGCAUGUGUGCGGCCCGGGUUCGAUCCUCAGCACCACAUACAAAGAAAGAUGUUGUGUCCGCCGAAAACUGAAAAAAAUAAAUAAAUAUUUAAAAAAAAA
This 1054-nucleotide long non-coding RNA is filed under the name Marmota monax (woodchuck). The record is from RNAcentral. Lineage: Eukaryota; Metazoa; Chordata; Mammalia; Rodentia; Sciuridae.